RNAcentral lists this ribosomal RNA (381 nucleotides) under uncultured archaeon. Its description in RNAcentral is "bacterial SSU rRNA". It matches the Rfam family "Archaeal small subunit ribosomal RNA", at positions 473 to 853 of the family's 1478-position model. The record is from RNAcentral.
AUACCGGCGGCUCGAGUGGUGGCCACUAUUACUGGGCUUAAAGCGUUCGUAGCUUGGUUGUUAAGUCUCUUGGGAAAUCUAUCGGCUUAACCGAUAGGCGUCCAGGGGAUACUGGCAAUCUAGGGACCGGGAGAGGUGAGGGGUACUUCAGGGGUAGGAGUGAAAUCCUGUAAUCCCUGGGGGACCACCUGUGGCGAAGGCGCCUCACCAGAACGGCUCCGACAGUGAGGGACGAAAGCUGGGGGAGCAAACCGGAUUAGAUACCCGGGUAGUCCCAGCCGUAAACGAUGCACGUUAGGUGUAUCGAUGACCACGAGUCAUCGAGGUGCCGAAGGGAAACCGUGAAACGUGCCGCCUGGGAAGUACGGUCGCAAGGCUGAA